This 465-nucleotide ribosomal RNA is filed under the name Vreelandella stevensii. RNAcentral's name for it is "partial 16S ribosomal RNA". It matches the Rfam family "Bacterial small subunit ribosomal RNA", at positions 338 to 795 of the family's 1533-position model. The record is from RNAcentral. Lineage: Bacteria; Pseudomonadati; Pseudomonadota; Gammaproteobacteria; Oceanospirillales; Halomonadaceae.
CCUACGGGUGGCUGCAGUGGGGAAUAUUGGACAAUGGGCGAAAGCCUGAUCCAGCCAUGCCGCGUGUGUGAAGAAGGCCUUCGGGUUGUAAAGCACUUUCAGUGGGGAAGAAAGCCUUGGGGCUAAUACCCUCGAGGAAGGACAUCACCCACAGAAGAAGCACCGGCUAACUCCGUGCCAGCAGCCGCGGUAAUACGGAGGGUGCGAGCGUUAAUCGGAAUUACGGGGCGUAAAGCGCGCGUAGGCGGUCUGAUAAGCCGGUUGUGAAAGCCCCGGGCUCAACCUGGGAACGGCAUCCGGAACUGUCAGGCUAGAGUGCAGGAGAGGAAGGUAGAAUUCCCGGUGUAGCGGUGAAAUGCGUAGAGAUCGGGAGGAAUACCAGUGGCGAAGGCGGUCUUCUGGACUGACACUGACGCUGAGGUGCGAAAGCGUGGGUAGCAAACAGGAUUAGAUACCCCUGUAGUC